GAAGGUUUUCUGAUGAAUAUGAACCAAUGGGUUCAAGAAAUUAUAUGAGAGGAAGGAGAAGAAACGAGUCCUUUCGAAGUUACAGCUCUGAGUUCAAUCGAGAAUUGCAAAGGACUGGGUCGUCAGAUAAAGCCAGGGCCUACCCUGAUGUGAAUGGUCAAGAUGAAGCUUUCCCACGUGAUAGAGAUGAACAGCAAGUGGUUAAAGACAGUAAUGGGAUGUUACCUAGUUCCCUUCCUGGUAAACAAAAUCCAGAUAUAGAGAGUGUGGAGGAGUCUAUAUGCUGUGAUCCAAAACCUGUCCUGGGAGAUUCUGGUAAAGAGACAGGUCCCAUCAACACUGGAAAUGAUCUCCCAUCAGAUGGUGAACCUGAACCAAAGAAGUCUGUAGACAUUGGAAUGUUGGAAGAAGAAGCUGAUCCUAUUAAUCAUGCCCACAGUACUGAUAAGUUGGAGAAAAUAGGUGUUAACGAGGAUACAGAAGUCAAGUUGUUCAGCCAAGAACAUAACCAGACCAGCAUGACUGAUAAUGAUUUACUUAGCUUAUGCAGGUUUGAGAAAGUUCCGACAAGAACACGUUCU
Molecule: unclassified non-coding RNA, 581 nt
Filed under: Hevea brasiliensis (rubber tree)
Lineage: Eukaryota; Viridiplantae; Streptophyta; Magnoliopsida; Malpighiales; Euphorbiaceae
Source: RNAcentral